UUCUUAUUCAAAUUGAUACUAAUUCACAAUAAUUACUGUGUAUAUUAGCAAUGCCGACACAUGUAUAAAUAUACUAUGAUAGUAACAUUUGUUUAUAGUCGUUACAGUUUAAUUCACAAGUGGCUAAGUAGGCAGCAGAACAGUUAUUUCUGGAACAACCAGGAUAUCCGGAACGAGAGAAUAACAACUUUUGAAGAUAGUUUAUCGCACGUAACAUACUUACUACCUACUCGGAUACUCCAUUGAAUUCCUGUAAUUGUAAUACAUGAACGGACAUUAAAGCAGAACGCAAUAGGAUGUAUACAAGGAAGCAGACUGAACUCAUAAAUAUAAAAGAUGAAUCACUUAUCCUCAGAAAUGAUGUACCGCAUAUUUUCACAAAGUAAGUAGGUAUGUAAGUAUAUUACUAGUAUAUUAUUUUCAACCGUCACAGACAUUGCAGAACGUUAGAAGUAGAUAUUAAAACUAUUUUAAUAAAGAAAUGGAACCUGGGGAGGGUUCAUUUCACUGGGUACAAAAUUCUCUCUAGUCAAUUUCGUCAAUAACGACUGUACAUACAUUGGAGCACCUACACCUAAAUACAUAUGUAUUUUUAUUACACACUAUCGAUGUAUUUGUCUCAUCACAUGACUUAGCUUAUCCUGAC
Molecule: long non-coding RNA, 646 nt
Filed under: Manduca sexta (tobacco hornworm)
Lineage: Eukaryota; Metazoa; Arthropoda; Insecta; Lepidoptera; Sphingidae
Description: uncharacterized LOC119190537, transcript variant X1
Source: RNAcentral